This 352-nucleotide long non-coding RNA is filed under the name Elaeis guineensis (African oil palm). RNAcentral's name for it is "long non-coding RNA (EGUI_LNC070558)". Lineage: Eukaryota; Viridiplantae; Streptophyta; Magnoliopsida; Arecales; Arecaceae. The record is from RNAcentral.
AGGGCGAGACAAAAGAAAGAAAAAAACUAAUAGGGACGGAAAUAAGAUUAGAGAGAAAAAGAGAGAGGGAUUUAAAGACCUCCCAAAUCUUGGUUGGCCGCCGUUUUCCGCCGGCCCCCGUUCGACUCUCGUCGCCGAGAAGAGUGAAGCGAGAAACCGAGUCACCUUUCGUGCCCUAGGCUUCGGGAGAACCGAGAGAUGGAGGGAUGGGAGGGCUGCCAUGAGUGCCCUCUGUUUUUUUGGUGCCCUCUGCUUGGGAUCGGGCCCUCUGCUUGGGAUCGGGCGGACCCUUUCGUGCCCUCUGCUUGGGAUCGGGCGGACCCGGCAACUCGGACUCGCGCAAGCGAAUGAC